UACGUAGGGGGCAAGCGUUGUCCGGAUUUAUUGGGCGUAAAGAGCGUGUAGGCGGCCAUACAGGUCAGCUGUGAAAACUCGAGGCUCAACCUCGAGACGUCGGUUGAAACCGUAUGGCUAGAGUCCGGAAGAGGAGAGUGGAAUUCCCGGUGUAGCGGUGAAAUGCGCAGAUAUCGGGAAGAACACCAAUGGCGAAGGCAGCUCGCUGGGACGGUACUGACACUGAGACGCGAAAGCGUGGGGAGCAAACAGG
This 253-nucleotide ribosomal RNA is filed under the name uncultured bacterium. RNAcentral describes it as "partial 16S ribosomal RNA". It matches the Rfam family "Bacterial small subunit ribosomal RNA", at positions 524 to 776 of the family's 1533-position model. The record is from RNAcentral.